GGCCAUAUUGUUAAGAAAAAAGGCAAACAAUCUCUGAAAGCUCAGUCCAAGCUAAAAUGAAGACGAAUAAAAACAGAAACAAAACAGUGCAAAGCUCCACAACCGACAACAACACAUAAGAAGAAUAACCACCUAAUCUAUUGUUGAACCGUCAUCCAAACCGAUUACAGAAAUCCUUAGCUACCAUCUUCCAUUGGAUAGAUCGAAUAACCAAAAGUUUUCUGGCCUCCGCAGCAGUGGGUAGUGACCGCGUACAGAUUCAAGUAGUGGUCUUGUAUAUUACCUACAAAAAAUUAAUCUGAGUUCAUCUAUUAGAAACCAUAUCAUUAUUGCAGUUUCAUAUAGCCCAAAAAAGUACACAUACCCCUAUCCGAAUAUGUGUCAUUAUAGUUGCGUCAACCCCAUUGAGCUACAUCUUCAUUUAGGUAUUGUUUAGAGUUGUAAUGUUAAAAGCUAUAUGAACUGAACGCCAUAAUAAUGCAGUCAUCGGGCACUCGAGAAAGAGGUGUUUAAUCCUUUCAUCAUGAUCACAAAAUACAACAUCGUCGACUCUCACCCAACUACACUUUGCCAAGUUGUCCUUAAUCAGAAUCACCUCUUUAUGGACAAACCACAUAAAGACUUUGGUUCUUAAGGACACUUUAAUUUUCCAAAUAUGUGGCAAUCUCGAAAUUGGACCAGAGUUGAUUAAAUCAACAUACAUUGAUUUCACUGAAAACUGCCUAUUCCUCAUAAGUUUCGAGUGAAUGGUGUGUAGCUUGUCAGAUUAAUGGACGUCCAUCAACCUCCUCACAAGACGUGGCCAAUCGUUUCAUCGGUUUCCUACUACAGACCUAUGAAACUGAAUAUUUAGAGGUAUCGACUCUAAUACUGUCGCAACAUAUGUGUCCUCGUUGUUGAAGAUUUUGGUUAGUUGGAGGAAGGCUUUGAUCAGAUAGAGUCUCUUUGAGUACAUUGUCUUGGUUGCUUUGUUGUUGUAACAAAAAUUAAUUUAGCUAGUCUAGUUGAUGACACCCUGAACUGAAGCUUCAAAUAGAAGUAUGACCUGUCGCUCGGGUCAGUUUUAUUCUCAGAAGCUCCUACCUUAAAAUAAAAUAAAAUUGCAGGCUACGGCGUUGGUGGAUCUGGAGAGCAGGAGGAGAAGGCGCAGACGUGGGUUACCUGGUAUGGUUUCCGGAUUGGUUUUUGGGGCCGAGGGGAGGCGCGGCGGAGGAAGCCGCCAUUGGAGGCCUGCCCGACGGAGAGGGUCACCGGGGUUGGCUGAAGAGAUCGAUGCGAUGCGUUCAAGAUUACGUAUUCCAAGCUGGGGUGGUUGGAAAUACGGGUUAGUGGUCGGCUCACGGGUCACGCGAAAAUGCGUUUUGUGGCUGGUUCCGUUCAGAGUGCCUCUGUGACGCAGUUCCAAAUUGGCGUGUAAUUGUAAAUCUGC
This 1429-nucleotide long non-coding RNA is filed under the name Hordeum vulgare. RNAcentral's name for it is "long non-coding RNA (HVUL_LNC005801)". Lineage: Eukaryota; Viridiplantae; Streptophyta; Magnoliopsida; Poales; Poaceae. The record is from RNAcentral.